GGCGCCAGGCGCUCCGGCCGCAAGGGAGCAGGGAGCCCUGCCAGCUGGGCCACCCGAGGGGCGUUGCGGGGCUCCGGGCGGGGCCGACCCGGGGGGCUCCGUCGGGCCCCACCAGCCUUGCGCCUUUUUCGCUCGGUCUCCUUGGCCUCCCGCUCCUGCGACGCCGCUUUCCUUUUCUCUUGCUCCCGAGCUCGGACCUCGGCCAGGGGCCCCGCCCGCCAGUUGGUCGCCUCCUGCAGCACCCUGGAGGCCCAGGGCCGGCGGGGCGGCGGCUGUGGGGAUCCCGGGCGCGGCCCACACCUGGGACAAUGAGCAGGAACCCAGGGAAUGUGACUUCACUGGACGCAGUAUAAAGAUCUUCAGAUGUCCUCCUGCCGGGGAUUGCAGGGAUCACAGAAAGACCAUCGAGGUCCAGGAGCUACCUGCAAGCGGAGAUCCCUCUGGACGCCCCGUGCCUCACCCAGCAAAGCCGGCUCACAACCCUGCGCUCUCAAACCUCUAAAAGGGCUUGAGGUGCCAAUAGGAAAGGAGGCCUGAGAUUGCCACGGCAUACGUGGGCCCCAAGAAGGGAGCCAGGAGUCACUGCCUGCUUGGGCUAAGGGUACCGCGUACGGAAAGGCGGCGGGGACGCGGCCCAGUUCUAGGAGAUGCGCCCAACGAAGAAGCGGAGGGACAGGGUCACGGGAUAGGGCAGACACCCGGCUGCUUUUUGUUUGCUAGACACCAGCGCCAGCCCCUGCCCGGCCCUCCCGGUCUCCUAAGGGCGGGGGGGGUCUUAGGCUCCACAGCGCCCCCGACCGCCCUCCUGCACUCCUCACCGUCUCCAUUGCAAGAGGCGCCCGGCUUGGUUUCCUCGCUUUAGGAAACUCUCUUGGGGCAGGCCCCGCCCCACAUCCGGUGCGGCGACGCCACUUCCGCCCACGUCAUGGCAGUCGCCAGACUGGGGCGAAAGGCAAGGAACCCACCCUUCCGGCGGUGGCGGGCCUCGGUAACCGCCCUCCCCCGGGUCCUCACGGACCGCACGGAUCCGGCUGACGGCGAGGGUCAUGGGACGGAGGCGCUUGUAUUUAAAAUGUUCUUUUUUUAUUUGUCGUUUAAAAACAAACUUGGAAGAAGCAAAAUCCAAAACUUGCCCUUUGCCUCUCGCAACAUAAAUAUGUACAGUUCAGAAUGAUCGCUGAUACAAAACAUGCCAAGGACAGGGGCGCUGAGGGUGGAGGGAGAGAGGGCGCUUUAAAAAAGGGAACCAUUUCAUCCGUUGUUACAAAGGACCAACCUUGCUGUACAGGAUACACACAACACAAAAUAAAGUCUUCACGGGA
Molecule: non-coding RNA, 1322 nt
Filed under: Pan troglodytes (chimpanzee)
Lineage: Eukaryota; Metazoa; Chordata; Mammalia; Primates; Hominidae
Source: RNAcentral